UACUCCUACGGGAGGCAGCAGUGAGGAAUAUUGGUCAAUGGGCGAGAGCCUGAACCAACCAAGUAGCGUGCAGGAUGACGGCCCUAUGGGUUGUAAACUGCUUUUAUGUGGGGAUAAAGUGAGCUACGUGUAGUUUAUUGCAGGUACCACAUGAAUAAGGACCGGCUAAUUCCGUGCCAGCAGCCGCGGUAAUACGGAAGGUCCAGGCGUUAUCCGGAUUUAUUGGGUUUAAAGGGAGCGUAGGCCGUGGAUUAAGCGUGUUGUGAAAUGUAGACGCUCAACGUCUGAAUUGCAGCGCGAACUGGUUCACUUGAGUAUGCACAACGUAGGCGGAAUUCGUCGUGUAGCGGUGAAAUGCUUAGAUAUGACGAAGAACUCCGAUUGCGAAGGCAGCUUACGGGAGCACAACUGACGCUGAAGCUCGAAGGUGCGGGUAUCAAACAGGAUUAGAUACCCUGGUAGUCCGCACAGUAAACGAUGGAUGCCCGUUGUUAGUUCACUUUAGAAUUAGCGACCAAGCGAAAGCAUUAAGCAUCCCACCUGGGGAGUACGCCGGCAACGGUGAAACUCAAAGGAAUUGACGGA
This 585-nucleotide ribosomal RNA is filed under the name uncultured bacterium. Its description in RNAcentral is "bacterial SSU rRNA". It matches the Rfam family "Bacterial small subunit ribosomal RNA", at positions 334 to 917 of the family's 1533-position model. The record is from RNAcentral.